This is a long non-coding RNA of Cebus imitator (Panamanian white-faced capuchin), 791 nucleotides long. RefSeq lists it as uncharacterized. The transcript is spliced from 2 exons. The record is from RefSeq and is a predicted model, not a curated record. NCBI's taxonomy places the organism in Eukaryota, Metazoa, Chordata, Mammalia, Primates, Cebidae.
UUCAUCUUGUAUAUAUCCCACCCCAGACUGGGAUUCAGCCAUUUCUCUUAGGAUUCCUGAUUCCUUUAAUGGGAAAUGUUAUUUAGAGACCACAUCCUGAGCACUGGUCUGUCAGGAUAUAACUUCAACUCCAAAACCUGACCCUUUCUCACUGCCUAACUACCACCAUCAUGACCCAGGGACAUCACCUCCUGCUAAGAUUACCACAGUGGCCUCCUCACCAUUGUCUGUAUCUCCCCUGCUCUGGGCCCUGUGGUUUGUUCUCAGUACAGCAGCCAUCAGGCCCAGAAGAGCAAGGAUCUUCUCACCAUGACUAGAGCAUUGCUUCUUCCUCUGCCAUGUGUCGAUGGCCCUGAAAGUAAGAGAUGAUGAGGGUCGUAUGGUACUUCCUUCCAUCAGGUAGACACCUGACAGAUAUAAUCAGCGCUUGUGGUUUAUAUGAUGUUUAUUAUGUUAAUAUAAGCUUUGUAUAUGUCAAUUAAGUCCUUUAAUCCCUACAACAACACAGUGAGGAUGGUUUCACAAUUUUCCUGAUGUUAGAGAUGAAGCCAUUGAGACACAGAUGGGUUUGAAAAUUGCUUGCAACCAGGUAGUUCACAAGUGGUAGAGUUGGGACCAGGAUCCAGGGAGCUUGGCUCUAGAGUCCAGGCUUUAAGCCAGUGCUAUCCAAUAGAACUUUCAGUGAUGAAGGAAAUGUUCUGUAUCUAUGCUGUCCAAUAUGGUCACCUCUAGCCACAAAUAGCUACUGAGGAUUUGACAUGUGGCUAGUUCAACUGAGGACUUUUUUUUUU